Molecule: unclassified non-coding RNA, 276 nt
Filed under: Pectinophora gossypiella (pink bollworm)
Lineage: Eukaryota; Metazoa; Arthropoda; Insecta; Lepidoptera; Gelechiidae
Description: alpha-(1,3)-fucosyltransferase C-like
Source: RNAcentral
GCUCCAUACCCCCUACGGUUGAUUGAGGGAAAAUAUAGGCUGUAACAGUCUAUAGCUGUUUGUGUUUUAUGGACCAAGCGGAGCUGUCAAAUCUUCGACUUGUCCGGUUUUUUACAGAAGCAACUGCCUGUAUGACGCUCAAACCAGCCCAAUACAGGUUAGGCCACAUGCCUAGGUAAGUAUUACAAAAAAUCAAUUUAAAUUUUAUUGCUAAGUAGGUAUGUUGAGUAAUAAAAAAGGCUUGCAUGUGGAAAGAACCAACUAACACCACGCUAU